This is a long non-coding RNA of Camelus dromedarius (Arabian camel), 906 nucleotides long. RefSeq lists it as uncharacterized. The record is from RefSeq and is a predicted model, not a curated record. The transcript is spliced from 2 exons. NCBI's taxonomy places the organism in Eukaryota, Metazoa, Chordata, Mammalia, Artiodactyla, Camelidae.
CCUAGUAAUAGUAGCUGCUCUUUCACACUUGCUGCUUUGGGGACCCUUAGACUCAGAGCUUCUUUACCUCUUUUAAUAGUUAACCACCUCUCCCUGUUCUAGUUAACAAUUCAUCAAAAUAAUUUUCCAAUAACCAGUAUAGUUGUGUCUCCUGACUGCACUCAGACUAAAGAGUUCACUGUACAGCUCUUCUGUAUGUUUGAAAAUGUUGGAGGAGGGAAGCAGGGAGAUGUAUUUUUAAAAAUUGCCAAAAUGUUAAUAACUGUUGAAGCUGGAUAAUGGACUGAGAAAAUUAUACUAUCUCACCGUUUUCUUUGUUUGAAAUUUCUGUAAAAGUUUUUAAAAGGGAAGAAAAAGAAGUGCUUCAUAAAGGUCAAAACAUUUCGAGAGAUUUUAACAGGCAAAAUGGAGGAUGAGAUUCCAGGUGUGAAAAAGCAUACAUCAAAUAUGGCAGCAGAAAACUGAAGGACAUGCUUGAGCAAUAGCAGGACAAACAACUAGGAACUCCAUGGGGUACCCAAGGCAAAAGAAAUGCCCCCACAAAGAUAUGCUGCAGCUGCUCCUGCUCUGGAUGAUGCCUUGCUUCCCCUACAUUCUGGCAGCCGUGCUACAGAACUUUCUGUGAUAAUGAACAUGUUUGCUCUUCUCUCACAUGUGGCUACUGAGUAAUUGAAACAUAACUAGUGUGACUGAGAAAUAGUAUUUUUAAUUAAUUUUUUAUUGAAAUAGAGUUGACAUACAACAUUAUAUUAGUUUCAGGUAUACUAUAUAAUGAUUUGAUAUUUGCAUACAUUAUGAAAUGAUCACCACAAGUCUAGUAACCACCUGUCCCCAUACAAAGUUAUUACUAUAUUAUCAUAUUCCUAGUGUUGAAUAUUAAAUCCCCGGGACUUAUUUAUUAUAUAA